CGCUGGCGGCGUGCUUAACACAUGCAAGUCGAACGAACCUUCGGGUUAGUGGCGGACGGGUGAGUAACGCGUGAGAAUCUGCCCUCAGGAGGGGGAUAACGGUUGGAAACGACCGCUAAUACCCCAUAUGCCGAUAGGUGAAAUGAAUUUCGCCUGAGGAUGAGCUCGCGUCUGAUUAGCUUGUUGGUGAGGUAAUGGCUCACCAAGGCUUCGAUCAGUAGCUGGUCUGAGAGGAUGAUCAGCCACACUGGGACUGAGACACGGCCCAGACUCCUACGGGAGGCAGCAGUGGGGAAUUUUCCGCAAUGGGCGAAAGCCUGACGGAGCAACGCCGCGUGAGGGACGAAGGCCUCUGGGCUGUAAACCUCUUUUCUCAAGGAAGAAGAUAUGACGGUACUUGAGGAAUAAGCCACGGCUAAUUCCGUGCCAGCAGCCGCGGUAAUACGGGAGUGGCAAGCGUUAUCCGGAAUUAUUGGGCGUAAAGCGUCCGCAGGCGGCCUUUCAAGUCUGCUGUUAAAGCGUGGAGCUUAACUCCAUCAUGGCAGUGGAAACUGAAUGGCUUGAGUAUGGUAGGGGCAGAGGGAAUUCCCGGUGUAGCGGUGAAAUGCGUAGAUAUCGGGAAGAACACCAGUGGCGAAGGCGCUCUGCUGGGCCAUUACUGACGCUCAUGGACGAAAGCCAGGGGAGCGAAAGGGAUUAGAUACCCCUGUAGUCCUGGCCGUAAACGAUGAACACUAGGUGUCGGGGGAAUCGACCCCUUCGGUGUCGUAGCUAACGCGUUAAGUGUUCCGCCUGGGGAGUACGCACGCAAGUGUGAAACUCAAAGGAAUUGACGGGGGCCCGCACAAGCGGUGGAGUAUGUGGUUUAAUUCGAUGCAACGCGAAGAACCUUACCAGGGUUUGACAUCCUGAGAACCUCUUAGAAAUUUGAGGGUGCCUUCGGGAAUUCAGUGACAGGUGGUGCAUGGCUGUCGUCAGCUCGUGUCGUGAGAUGUUGGGUUAAGUCCCGCAACGAGCGCAACCCACGUUUUUAGUUGCCAGCAUUUAGUUGGGCACUCUAGAAAGACCGCCGGUGAUAAACCGGAGGAAGGUGUGGAUGACGUCAAGUCAUCAUGCCCCUUACACCCUGGGCUACACACGUACCACAAUGCUACGGACAAAGGGCAGCAAACUCGCGAGAGCUAGCAAAUCCCAUAAACCGUGGCUCAGUUCAGAUCGUAGGCUGCAACUCGCCUACGUGAAGUAGGAAUCGCUAGUAAUCGCAGGUCAGCAUACUGCGGUGAAUACGUUCCCGGGCCUUGUACACACCGCCCGUCACACCAUGGAAGUUGGCCAUGCCCGAAGUCGUUACUCCAACCCUUGUGGAGGAGGACGCCGAAGGUGGGGCUAAUGACUGGGGUGAAGUCGUAACAAGGUAGCCGUACCGGAAGGUGCGGCUGGAUCACCU
RNAcentral lists this ribosomal RNA (1447 nucleotides) under uncultured Prochlorococcus sp. RNAcentral's name for it is "bacterial SSU rRNA". It matches the Rfam family "Bacterial small subunit ribosomal RNA". The record is from RNAcentral. Lineage: Bacteria; Bacillati; Cyanobacteriota; Cyanophyceae; Synechococcales; Prochlorococcaceae.